Molecule: long non-coding RNA, 997 nt
Organism: Erpetoichthys calabaricus (reedfish)
Lineage: Eukaryota; Metazoa; Chordata; Cladistia; Polypteriformes; Polypteridae
Exons: 3
Source: RefSeq, a predicted model, not a curated record
CUGCGCAUGUCGAAUGUUUUACGACACACGAGAAAAAAAGUUACCGCGGGAUUUUAAUUUCUCGGUCUGCAUUAACAAAUAGAACUUCCGCCAUUCGAGUGAGAAGGAGAAAGAAGAACGCCAUAAAGAAUAGGAGCAUAUUGAAUUUUUCUCCGGGAAGAAGAAUAUUUUUCACUUUUUGAAAAAAUGAAGACUUCAAUUUUACAACGACUUGAAAGAUUAUCUUUUGCGGGAAGAAUUUAGCAACAAUUUAACGGUCAGAGAGCGAAGUGAAAUAUGACGUGUGUCCGUGAAUUUUAUGAUUAAAGUGAAGUGGAAGAAUUUAACCGAAAGAUAGGGCAGCAAUUAAAGAAGGAAGGAAUGCUGCGAUAUCUGUUGGAAUAGAAGAUGAUGCUACUGCCCAGUGCUUCCAGAAUCCUUCAUUUGAGUCUUGGGUCUGAAUCUACUGCAUCAUUGCCAAGUAUUCUGGGUGAUGCCCUUUGCCAUGUACCCUGGUCAAAUCUUGUGCAACUGACUGUGGUGCUGAAGAGAGAAGAUUUCUGAAGACCCUCUUGAAAUGGAGCUGCAAUUGGAUUAACACUACAACAGUAUGCUUGCUGAGAAUGUCCACAGGGGCCUGGGGAGGCUGUGACCUUGUGACCCUGAGACGUUGUUUUGUCAAGCAUCCUGACCAACUAGACCUUUUUGUGUUCAACAGAGCCAUCUGACCAUCAGAUAUAUUUAAGGAGAAGGACCUUUCAAUUUUCCUCUUGUGUACUUUUUAAUUGUAUAUAUAUUUUUUCAUUUUCAUAAAGUUAUAUAUAUUUGUUAAGCAGUUUGGGCUUUAUUAGUAUUAAAAUAUGUUAAGAUUAGUUAUUUGUGGAAUAAUUUAAAUGAUCAAAAUAGCAAAAAAUGUAACUAAGUUUUCUGUGCUCUGGGUAAAAUACGUUAAAGCUAUGUGGUGAUUUUUUACAUUUUUUUUUUUUUUUGUACAUUUGACAUGGUUUUUUUAGAUGCA